RNAcentral lists this ribosomal RNA (806 nucleotides) under Frankliniella occidentalis (western flower thrips). RNAcentral describes it as "eukaryotic LSU rRNA". It matches the Rfam family "Eukaryotic large subunit ribosomal RNA", at positions 1 to 610 of the family's 3401-position model. The record is from RNAcentral. Lineage: Eukaryota; Metazoa; Arthropoda; Insecta; Thysanoptera; Thripidae.
GACCUCAGUUCAGGUGAGAUUACCGGCUGAAUUUAAGCAUAUUACUAAGCCGAGGAAAAGAAACUAACAAGGAUUCCCCUAGUAGCAGCGAGCGAACAGGGAAGAGCCCAGCGCUGAAUCCCCCGGGCCUCGCUCGGCGGGAAAUGUAGCGUUUGGGAGGGCCCGUCAACACGGCGACUCGCUCACUGGUUCAAGUCCAACUUGAAUGGGGCCACACAGAGGGUGACAGGCCCGUAGAGCAGGAGCGGUUGUCGUGUGGGUCUCUCCUUAGAGUCGGUUUGCUUGAGAGUGCAGACUUAAGUGGGUGGUAAACUCCAUCUAAGGCUAAAUAUGACCACGAGACCGAUAGCACACAAGUACCGUGAGGGAAAGGUGAAAAGAACUUUGAAGAGAGAGUUCAAGAGUACGUGAAACUGAAGUGGUGUAAACGGACGAGUUCGAAAAGUCCGAAUGGUGAGAUUCAAGCUUACCGUGCCGGUGGCCCUCGGGUUCAGAUGGCGUCGUCAGCUCGGGCUUCGGUUCGGGUCAUACGGCGUCACUCGUCCUGGGGGUAUCUGUCUGGUGCGGUGGGCUGCACUUCUCGCCUAGUAGGACGUCGCGACCCGUUGGGAUGUUCCGUUCACUGGCCCCUGGUGGAGCCCGCGCCGGAGCGUGGCCUUGUGCCGCGUUGCUGUUUGCACGGACCCGGGGUGACCUGAUCGGCGCCCGACGGUAUCAAAGCUUGGGAAGAGGCCGCACAGAGGAUGCGUUCGAUGGCCGUUUCGGCCUACACUCGGACAGGCCUGCACCCGGUCAGCGGCGCUUCU